UUCUUCUCCAGGGAAUCUUCCUGACUAAGGGAUCGAGGGUGCAUCUCCUGUGUUGGCAGGUGGAUUCUUUACUACUGAGCCACCAGGGAAGCCAAAAGUUUGGAUAUGAGAUGUUUAUUAAAGAUAAAUGUGAAGCACAGGAUUGGGCCUAGAGGAGCCACCAGCUGAAAGCUGUUGACCACACUGCCUCCAGCUGGGCAACAAGGCCUUCCUAAAAGGGCGGUGUGGCGGCAGCUUUCCAAGUGAACCACAGUUACCAGUCAACAGCACUGAGUUGGCAAGUAGUGAAACGUUGCUCCUGGGGAAAUACAGGGCCUAGGUUCCUGUGAGCCUCUGAUCACAACAUUGUCACCAAUAGAUCAAUACGUGACCUCGUUUGAUGUGAGUUUCUUUUUUAAGGCAACUUUUAGAAUAUAUAUUAUUGAUUCCUAGCGGUUGAACUCAUGGUCAACAAGACUACAACUCAGGCCUGAGCGAAGCUUAAUCUAACACACGUGUUUCCUGUUUUCUACGAAAGGCUCAUUACGGCCUUCUAGUACUCAGAAACACAAGUCCAGCUUCAGAAUUGAGCCUGGGGGCCAUUUUAAAACAGCAAAACCACCAACGAGAAGCACAAAAUAUAGCACUAAAUAGAGCUUGAAAAGGACACAUUUGCAGGGUGUGAACUGAAAAAAGAAGUCAUCAAGUCACCUGUCCAGUCUCAGCUGAGAACUUGCGGGUCCAGCAAUACAAUUUUUUGCUCCUCUGCACAUCUGCAAAUGACUGUGGAAGCAUUGAUAUCCUUCUCUCCUCAGGUUUCUACAGGAAUCAUUCAUUUGUUCCAGGAUCUCUGGACUAAGAAGAAAUUCUCUUCCACAUUCCACUCAGCAUAAGCUAUGCUUAUCCUUUACUUGCUAAUAAAACAGCAGCUUGUGUUUAAUGUGGAUUGAUUCAAAUAAGAGAAUUCAGCGACUUUCCAAACCCACCAACUUCUUCCUGUGUGGUUAAACGUUCCCAUAUUUGGUGAAAAUGGAGAAAGGAAAUAACAAAGGAUUGGAUAUUAUCCUAAAAGCUAUUUGUUUACUUUAAAAGUCUUAAUAAAAAGAUUUCUCCAAUUUAUUUUUCAUAACUUCGUAGGAAGCAAGAACAAUUUCUGAGAAAGAACUGGUUUUUAGACCAAAAUGUCAUUUAAUCUCCAAGUAUACUGUAUAUUACUUUAAAGUGCUACCUGGGGUUUGUAAUCUAAGAUGUCCAGCAUCGAUAACAUUGCAAAGAUUCUCUGAUAAUCAUGAGGAUGCAGGUUUAUUUCCUUCAGUGGGGUGUCCGUUAAAAGCAUACAAACUUUUUAACUGGCCUCCAGCCUCUGUGCCAUGUGAUCUACCUGCAUUUUUCCAUAAUUUGUGAGCACCAGCUGAGGUUUUUUAAUAGUUGAAGCUAAUAUUUGUUAAUUCAAAGUGGAGGUGAUUUAAACCAAACCAAAGAUAGCAUGUAUAUAUAUUUUUUAACAGUGAACCUAUGUUGGGACCUUUGUUCUGUUUUCUUCUUCUUUGUGCUUUUCUUGUUUUUGUAAAAAAAAAAAAUGUCAGCUUUAUUAAGGUAUAAUUGACAAAUUAUAAGGUAUUUAAGUGUACAUGUGAUGAUUUGAUACAUGUUAUGAGAGAAUUCUCCCCAUCUAGUUAAUUAACACAUCCAUCACCUCACAUAUUUAUCCUUUUUUUUUUUUUAAAGAGAACAUUUAAGUACUGCACUCAGCAAAAUUCAGUUAUACAAUACAGUGUUGUCAACUAUAGUCACCAUGUUUGAAGUUAGAUCCUCAGACCUUGUUCAUCACACAUCUGAAACUUUGUACCCUUUUUAUCAACAUCUCUCUAUUCCCCAACCCCCCAGCCUCUGGCAACCACUGUUUUACUCUGUCUAGGAGUUAGUUUUUGUGUGUGUGUUUUUUUAAGAUUCCAGGUAUAAGUGAUACUUUGGAGUAUUUGUCUUUCUCUUUCUGCCUUAUUUCACUUAGCAUAAUACCCUCAAGAUCCAUUCACAAAUGGCAUGAUUUCUUUCUUUCUGAGAGCUGGAUAAUAUGUUACAUCUCUAUCCAUUCAUCUGUCUGGACAUUUAGGUUGCUUCCAUGUCUUGGCUAUUGUAAAUAGUGCUGCUAUGAACAUGGGGCUGUAGUUAUCUCAUUUGAUACCCUGUUUUCAUCCCCUUUAAAUAUAUACUCACAGUUGGAAUUACGGAAUCAUAUGGUAAUUAUAUUUUUAAUUUUUCUGAAGAACCUCACUAUUGUUUUCCACAGUGACUGAACCAUUUUACAUUCUUACUAACACUGCACAAGGGUUCCCUUUUCUCCACAGCCUCGCCAAUACUACUAUCUCUUGUCUAUUUGGUGACAGCCAGUCUAACAGUUUGGAGAAGGCAGUGGCACCCCACUCCAGUACUGCCUGGAAAAUCCCAUGGACGGAGGAGCCUGGUAGGCUGCAGUCCAUGGAGUUGCUAAGAGUUGGACGCAACUGAGCGACUUCACUUUCACUUUUCACUUUCCUGCAUUGGAGAAGGAAAUGGCAACCCACUCCAGCGUUCUUGCCUGGAGAAUCCCAGGGACGGGGGAGCCUGGUGGGCUGCCAUCUAUGGGGUUGCACAGAGUCGGACACGAAUGAAGUAACUUAGCAGCAAUCUAACAGUUGUGAGGAGAUAACUAGUUGUGGGUUUGACUUGCAUUUCCCUGAUUAGUGAUGUUGAGCCCCAUUUCGUGUACUCAUUAGCCAUUUGUCUUCUUUAGGAAAGUCUCUAUGUAGUUCCUCUGACCACUUUUAAAUUGGAUUGUUCUCAUGCUACUGGGCCUUAUGAGUUCCUUUCAUAUUUUGGCUACAAAUAUAACAUAAUUGAUAGUCCAACUUGCUAAUCCUGCUCGCCAGGAGGGACUCUCCCAUUCUGAAUGCGGCUUCCAGAUAAGGGCAAAGUCUGUGGUCCCAGCACCUGAGCAUCCUCAGAGCCUUCACGACAAUUCUGCUUCCCCAGGUUUUUAUAGUCCUGGUUCCCUUCUUGUGGGUCGUAGCCCAUGAUGGCAGCAGUAGGUUUUGAUCAUCACAGAAUACACUCCUGGUGUACGUCACCUGCUUCGUUCUCUGGACCACAACUUUGCGCCCUGAGCGGCAGCUCACAACUAUGUUGCAAACAGGUCGUCAGUAUAUGUUCCUCCUCAGCCUUCACGGUGGUCACGUGGCCCCCUGGAGAGGUUAGAGCCCUGGAACUCCCACCCCUGGCCUUGAAUAGCCUCAUUCGUAUCUCACACAUAGAACACAAAUGAUCAUUUUCCACAGGUACUGGGAGAUGAAUAGGUUGGGAAGCACCUCUGAAGACUAAGAUGCAGCUUGGCUUUGGGAAUCUCGAAGCAUCCCUCACUACCUCAGUUCUGUGUGCUAGACUCUCUCUCCAGUACCCGGUUGCCAGUCCCCAGAACAACUGACCCAUCUUUAGACUUGAGACUCACUUGCUUCAUUCCCAUGGCAGAGACUGACUGGAUGGUCACCCAAACCACUUCUCUCUUGGGUUUAGACACAAACUGCAUCUCCAAGGCCCUUGCAUCCAGGCAGGGGUGUGAGGACUAACUCUGGCUGAUGGACUGUAAGUGUAAAUGAUGUAUCACUCCUGGGUUAAGACCAGUAGAGCUGUAUGGUCUACACACUUUCCUUCUAUCUUCUUUGUCCAAAGUGUCCUUUGCAGGUGUUGAAGAUGGUUACUAGAUCCCUGAAUGCCUACCGUUUGUCCAGCUGCCCCACAGCCUCUAACUGAAACAAACUUGGACUUGAAUGAAAAUAAUUAUUUUUAUUGUGUUAAGCCCUAAAACUUCAGGACUUAUCUGCUAUAAUAACUAGCAUUAUCUACAGUAAUCAGUACAAUUUCUCUAUCAUAGACAUUCAUGGUGUUAGGGGAUUAACGAUGCCACCCUAAAAUUAAUGCAUGGAAGUCCCAACCCCCAGUAUCUCUGAGUGUCAUGAUAAGUUCUUUAAAGAGGCAUUUAGUUAGAAUGAGGACAUUGGAGUGGGUUCUAAUGACAUGACGGUGCCCUUAUAGGGAAAGACAUAGACCAGAGGUGGUAGUACACAGGUGGACAACCAUGGGAAGAGGCAGCGAGAGGGUGGCCACCUGUGAGCCAAGGAGGGAGACCUCUGAGGAAACCAAGCCUGCCAGUUCUUUGACUCCCCACCGCCAGAGCUGCAGGCAAUAAAUUUCCAUUUUUUUUAAACCACCUAAUCUGUGGGAUUUUUGUUACAGCAGCUCCAGAAAACUAGUACACAUGGUCCAGUCUCUCUGUGUAUCAUUUUGUUUCCUUAUUUCCCAACAGAUGUGUUUAUUUAAAAUACGAUCAGUCCUCAAAGAUGCUGGUUUUGCCAGCUUUCCUGUCUUUGCCAUUGUUAUCUUUCAAGU
Molecule: long non-coding RNA, 4401 nt
Organism: Bos taurus (domestic cattle)
Lineage: Eukaryota; Metazoa; Chordata; Mammalia; Artiodactyla; Bovidae
Source: Ensembl